UACGUAGGGGGCAAGCGUUGUCCGGAUUUAUUGGGCGUAAAGCGCUCGCAGGUGGUUUGCUGCGUCGUGCGUGAAAGACCCCGGCUCAACUGGGGAGGGUCGUGCGAUACGGGCAGACUGGAGGCCAGUAGGGGGAUGCGGAAUUCCGGGUGUAGUGGUGGAAUGCGUAGAGAUCCGGAGGAACACCAGCGGCGAAGGCGGCAUCCUGGACUGGUCCUGACACUCAUGAGCGAAAGCGUGGGGAGCGAUCCGG
This 253-nucleotide ribosomal RNA is filed under the name uncultured bacterium. RNAcentral describes it as "partial 16S ribosomal RNA". It matches the Rfam family "Bacterial small subunit ribosomal RNA", at positions 524 to 776 of the family's 1533-position model. The record is from RNAcentral.